Schistosoma haematobium is the source of this 78-nucleotide non-coding RNA. The record is from Rfam. NCBI's taxonomy places the organism in Eukaryota, Metazoa, Platyhelminthes, Trematoda, Strigeidida, Schistosomatidae.
AGCUUUCUAAAUCCGUGAAGAGAUUUCAUUAGAUACCAACCCAUUAGGGCUAUUCAAACUUCCAAAAUAAGUGAAGUU